Long non-coding RNA from Sapajus apella (tufted capuchin), 1708 nucleotides. RefSeq lists it as uncharacterized. Lineage: Eukaryota; Metazoa; Chordata; Mammalia; Primates; Cebidae. The transcript is spliced from 2 exons. The record is from RefSeq and is a predicted model, not a curated record.
CCUUUCUCAUGAGCGCUGUUGUCAUCAUCAUCAUUUGUCAUGAUCCAGUCUUGCUUGUGAGAAAGCUCAAAAUGAUUACAGCUGCCUUUUAGGCAUAUCCUGCCUUAAAAUGGCUUGUAAGUUGGUGGAGAAGAAGAUCACACCCUAUUUAUUUUCUCAAAUAAAAAGGGAAGAAUGGGAGCGAAAGAACUCUACUGGAGCAUCCGGGACUCAGGAAUUGGGUGUGUUUCGGAGGUCAUGUAGUUGAAUUCCCAGAUUUUACUAGCUUGGAAAAACUAAAAAUCGGAGGCUAGUGGGCCGUUAACCACACAUAGACGUAAAAGCACUCUUGCUUGAGAGAGAGUUGAUUUCAGUAACAUUACUUUGUUCUGGCUUUUCAAAGUGUGAUUUUUGUGGGCCCUUCCUGGUACAUUUUCAUGGUGGUUUUCUGUGUUGUGAUUAGGUCCCUAAGGCAUCUCCAGGCUGUCCUUUCACUGAUGAAGAGGAAUUCCACCCUGGUUUUCCCCCUCUGAGGGCUUUGCAUCCGGCUACUGUCUGUUCAGCAUUGACCUUUCCUGCUAUCUCAGUUAUAUCACGCUAAAUUAAGCAGAUGAAGAGACUGAGACUUAGGAUAGUCAAGACUUGGGCUAAUAAAUGGUGGUUGGGAACCAUGGUCUUAACUAUGAUGCCAUCGUCAGUCACCAUGCCUGAUGGGAUGUUUAUAUGUGUACCAGGGAGGUUUAGCGUCUUGUCGUUCGUUGCACGUGUAUACUUGGGAAGGACUCCAGUGUUCAUGCGCAGCGGGAAGUUUUUGCUUGGACAUUUCCUAACUGGAUUACAAGUGGCACAGGUGCAGGCAUUGUAGAUGCUUAUUUGUGUCCCACGUCCUGCAUCCACGCUGCGGGGUGGGUGCUGGGAAACGCCAUAGAGAAGGAGCAUCUCACCUUCCCUCUGUUCACACCUGUUGCCACUCAUGUAGUUCAGCAUGAAUUUGGUGGUUCUUGCCUUUUAUUUUUUUUUCUUACCCUUCAUUAUGUGAUGAAGUGUGAUAUGAAAAUGGCCCUUGUAAUUCCUGCCUCCAGUGCAUUCCUUCUCUUCCCUUAUUCAUUUACAUAUCCUCUCCCUGUCUUUCAUUCUUGCAAAUACGGGUAAAAUAACGUUUGGAUUUUGCCUAGCGUAGUUAGUACUUGUAUUGGGCUGUUCUUGCACAGCUAUAAAGACAUACCUGAGGCUGGGUAGUUUGUAAAGAAGAGGUUGAACUGGCUUGCAGUUCUGCAGGCUGUACAGGAAGCCUGGCAGCAUUUGCUUCUGGGAGGCCUUGGGAAGCUCUGACUCAUGGAGGAGGGUGAAGAGGGGUCAGGCAUGUCUUGACUCACGGCCAGAGCAGGAGGAAGGCAGGGAGGUGCCACACACUUUUAAAUGACCAGGUCUUACCACAGCUCAUUCUCUGUCUCCCAUGGGAACAGCACCGAGGAGACGGUGCUAAACUCUCCCUGAAGGACCCACCCCCAUGAUCCAGUCAGCUCCCACCAGGCCCCACCUCUAACACCGGGGACAACACAGAUCCAAACUGUAUUACUACACAGGUGUGUUUCUCCGUUACUAGUGUUGAUCAUUGUGCUGUAGUUAAAGCUGAAGUUACAGAUUUGAUAUCCUAAGACUUAUGUUAAUUUCUGUGUAUUGGUAUAUGUUGUGUUCCAGCUUGUUCUGAAAUAUGCUUAUUAUGCAU